AUGGACGUUGAGGGUGCUCCUGACUCCAUAUCUUGGCGGCUAGAGUCCACCGGCCGCUUCUCCACAAAAUCCUUAUACUCGGCCAUCGCUCCUUCGUCGACCGCUGAGCCCUUUAACCUGAUUUGGGACAUCCGACUCUCUCUGAAGAUCAGGAUCUUCAUGUGGCAGUGGAUUCGGGUACGCCUACCCUCUGGGGUGGAGGUCCUCAAGCGUAACGGCCCAGGAGAUGGGAUGUGCCCUCUCUGUGGCACAGUGGAGGAUGCUAAUCACAUCUUCUUCUCCUCCUCCACGGCCCAAUUCCUGUGGUCUUGCUUUCGCGAGACGGUCGGUGGACAGUGGUGUAACACCAACUUCCCGAACCUACUUGCCGAGAUCCAUGCCUUCGCCCUUGCCACCGCCAUAUUAGAUGGAUUUGCGUUGGGUCCUCGCCUAGACGCUUUGGACAAUCUGCAACAAGCUUGUCAUUCAGAAAGUGCCUCUUCGACGUGUGACUGGCGCGGUCUUUAA
This 507-nucleotide ribosomal RNA is filed under the name Triticum aestivum (bread wheat). RNAcentral's name for it is "partial small subunit ribosomal RNA". Lineage: Eukaryota; Viridiplantae; Streptophyta; Magnoliopsida; Poales; Poaceae. The record is from RNAcentral.